RNAcentral lists this ribosomal RNA (1230 nucleotides) under Triticum aestivum (bread wheat). RNAcentral's name for it is "partial small subunit ribosomal RNA". Lineage: Eukaryota; Viridiplantae; Streptophyta; Magnoliopsida; Poales; Poaceae. The record is from RNAcentral.
AUGGCCACGGCAGCCUCGCCGCCGGCGGCAGCCUCCGCUCGGGCGUCGGCGAUCCGCUCCCGCGCUGGCCGCCUCUCCCUCCCCGCGGCCCUCCCGGCGGACGGCCGUGGUGACACUGCCACCACCUACAAGGAGCUCGGCUUGUACUCCUGGAAAAGGAGGAUCGAAGAUGCGGUUAUCCGGGUGGAGUUGUCUGCAUCCAAUGCACUGGAGAGGGAGGAAGCACGGAGAAUCGAGCAUGAAGAAGUACUGCAAAGCCAUAACUUGUGGGACAAUCCGGCCAAGUCACACGAGACGCUCUCUGCCCUGUCUGAUGCCAUCAGAGCGGUUGAUCAUCUCAAAGACCUUCUAUAUAAGGCUGAAGAGGCUAAGCUGAUAAGUCAACUAGCAGGCAUGGAUGUCAUAAACGGAGAGCUAUUUAAGCAAGCAUAUGAUAUCUCUUUGGAUGCUAGUGAGUUUCUAGAUCGUUACCAGAUGUACGAGCUUCUUAAGGGUCCAUAUGACAAGGAAGGAGCUUGUAUCAUGGUCACUGCUGGAUCAGAGGGUGUCGCUUCAGAGCUAUGGGCAGAGAAGCUAUUUGACAUGUAUACAAGUUGGGCACAAAGGCAAGGUUGCAAAGAAGGACUGGUAGAGAAGAUCGCAUCAACAAGUGGUCAUACCCAGUUUGCAGCAAUGGAGAUUGAAUCAGAGUACAUGUUUGGUACCCUUUCUGGAGAAAAAGGAAUGCACAGAAUGAUCUACUCUUCCGUUGAAAAUUCUGGCACUGGCAAGGCGAUUUCAGCUAGAGUCGAUAUAAUUCCUCUCUUCUUGGAUAGACCGGUUAAUUUUCACUUGGAUGACAAUGAUCUGGAGAUUUCUCCGUUACCCAGUGAAUUUAAAAAUCGAGACCGAAGAAAUGGUGCCACUGUGAGAGUUCAGCACAUACCAAGCGGAGUUACUGCCGAAAGCUCAGGUGAAAGAAGCUAUUUCGCAAACAAGCUAAAAGCCGUGAGCAGGCUGAAAGCAAAGCUCCUCAUCAUAACAAGAGAACUAAGAGUACCAAACCCGAAGAUGAUCGAGAAACAAGCUGUGGAGGAAAGAUGCAACCGCGAGACGAGACGAUACAUGUUCGGGCCCCAGGAAUUCGUCCAUGAUCUUAACACGGGCAUCCAGUUGUCCGACCUCAACUCGGUCCUGGAAGGCGACAUCGAACCGUUCAUCAGGGGUCGUAUUGUUUCAAGACAUGGAUGA